AUCUACAGGUAUACCACCCUGAACCUCCCCGAUCUUGUCUGAUGUUAGAAGCUAAGCAGUGUGGGGUCUGGUUAGUACUUGAUUGGGAGACCACCUGGGAAUACUGGGUUCUGUAGUCU
Molecule: ribosomal RNA, 119 nt
Organism: Colobus angolensis palliatus
Lineage: Eukaryota; Metazoa; Chordata; Mammalia; Primates; Cercopithecidae
Source: Ensembl